CGGGGGACCUGCCAUGAGGGGGAGCUUGUGGUUUAAUUCGAAGAAACGCGAAGAACCGUAACUAAGCUAGACAUACAAAUGAAAGCUCCUUAAUCGGAGAUUUCGUUUAGGGGAAAUUGGGGAAAGGUGGUGCAUGGUGGUCGUCAGCUCGUGUCGUGAGAUGUUGGGUUAAGUCACGCAACGAGCGCAACCCUUGUCUUUAGUUGCCAGCAUUAAGUUGGGAACUCUAGAGAGACUGCCAGGGAUAACCGGGAGGAAGGUGGGGAUGACGUCAAAUCAUCAUGCCCCUUAUGCUUAGGGCUACACCCGGGCUACAAUGGGUAGUACAGAGGGUUGCCAAGCCGUAAGGUGGAGCUAAUCCU
RNAcentral lists this ribosomal RNA (362 nucleotides) under Clostridioides difficile. Its description in RNAcentral is "bacterial SSU rRNA". It matches the Rfam family "Bacterial small subunit ribosomal RNA", at positions 914 to 1275 of the family's 1533-position model. Lineage: Bacteria; Bacillati; Bacillota; Clostridia; Peptostreptococcales; Peptostreptococcaceae. The record is from RNAcentral.